AUUGAACGCUGGCGGCAGGCCUAACACAUGCAAGUCGAACGAGUGGCGGACGGGUGUACAGUGUCUGGGAAACUGCCUGAUCGAGGGGUAUAACUAGUGGAAACGGUCUCAACUAGCGCAUACCAUCAUUUGUGCUCAGAUGGGAUUAGCUUGUUGGUGGGGUAAAGGCGCACCAAGGCGACGAUCCCUAGCUGGUCUGAGAGGAUGACCAGCCACACUGGAACUGAGACACGGCCCAGACUCCUACGGGAGGCAGCAGUGGGGAAUAUUGCACAAUGGGCGCAAGCCUGAUGCAGCCAUGCCGCGUGUAUGAAGAAGGCCUUCGGGUUGUAAAGUACUUUCAGCGGGGAGGCGUUACCUGCAGAAGAAGCACCGGCUAACUCCGUGCCAGCAGCCGCGGUAAUAC
This 406-nucleotide ribosomal RNA is filed under the name uncultured bacterium. Its description in RNAcentral is "partial 16S ribosomal RNA". It matches the Rfam family "Bacterial small subunit ribosomal RNA", at positions 30 to 526 of the family's 1533-position model. The record is from RNAcentral.